This is a long non-coding RNA of Pogoniulus pusillus (Red-fronted tinkerbird), 836 nucleotides long. RefSeq lists it as uncharacterized. NCBI's taxonomy places the organism in Eukaryota, Metazoa, Chordata, Aves, Piciformes, Lybiidae. The transcript is spliced from 3 exons. The record is from RefSeq and is a predicted model, not a curated record.
CCCGGGUGUGGCCACUUUGCCCUCCCUGCUCCCUGCCCCAUAUAAGCAGAGCAGGAGGAGCCCAGCCCCAAGCUGGGCCCAUUGCGGGCCAAGGGAUCCUCCGCCGGCAUCCCAGGUUCUGCGGUGGAUGCAGACAUGGAGCAGGAGCAGAACUGGAGCUGGGAACGGAGCAGGAGCCUCGAAAGUUUUGUUCUAGGUUCUGCGGUGGAUGCAGACAUGGAGCAGGAGCAGAACUGGAGCUGGGAACCGACCAGGAGCAGCAGCUGGGAAUGGAGCUGGGAACGGAGCAGAAGCGGUAAGGGCUGGCUGGAGGAGCACAGGGGCCGGAGCUGCAUUCAGCUGCCCGGGGGCAGGCAGCGCUGCCAGGACCCUGGCGCACACCCGCACAGGCUGUGCCGUGCCCCGGCAGGAGCUUUUGCAGCAGCUGCUCUCCGCUGCGGGUUCAGUGUCCUGCUGCAAGGAGGCUCUGCCUGCAGCUCAGAGCUGCCUUGCACCGUCUCAAGGCGCUCUCCAGGAAGGAGUCCCUCAGCCUGCUCUCAGCUCUCCUUCAGCUGCUGAAACGUAGCUCGAAGGUCUCCCUGGAGCCUUCUCCUCUCCAGGCUGAGCAGCCACAGCUCUCUCAGGCUGCCUUCACAGCAGAGCUUCUCCCACCCUCUGCUCAUGUUUGUGGCCUGCUCUGGAAGCCCUCCAGCAGCUCCCUGGCUCCCUUGUGUUGGGGGUGCCCCAGAGCUGGCCACAGCAGUCCAGGCUGAGCUCUCCCCAAAGCAGAGGGGCAGAUGGUUCACAAGCACAGACCCCACAGGCUGCCCAACGACCUUCCCACACUGCAGCUGCAG